GAUGAACGCUGGCGGCGUGCUUAACACAUGCAAGUCGAACGGAAAGGCCCAAGCUUGCUUGGGUACUCGAGUGGCGAACGGGUGAGUAACACGUGGGUGAUCUGCCCUGCACUUCGGGAUAAGCCUGGGAAACUGGGUCUAAUACCGGAUAGGACCACAUUUUGGAUGGUGUGGUGGAAAGUUUUUCGGUGUGGGAUGAGCUCGCGGCCUAUCAGCUUGUUGGUGGGGUAAUGGCCUACCAAGGCGUCGACGGGUAGCCGGCCUGAGAGGGUGUACGGCCACAUUGGGACUGAGAUACGGCCCAGACUCCUACGGGAGGCAGCAGUGGGGAAGAUUGCACAAUGGGCGCAAGCCUGAUGCGGCGACGCCGCGUGGGGGAUGACGGCCUUCGGGUUGUAAACUCCUUUCGCUAGGGACGAAGCGUUAUGUGACGGUACCUGGAGAAGAAGCACCGGCUAACUACGUG
Molecule: ribosomal RNA, 466 nt
Filed under: uncultured bacterium
Lineage: Bacteria
Description: partial 16S ribosomal RNA
Rfam family: Bacterial small subunit ribosomal RNA
Source: RNAcentral